GUUUCCGUAGGUGAACCUGCGGAAGGAUCAUUACCACACCUAAAAAACUUUCCACGUGAACCGUAUCAACCCUUUUAGUUGGGGGCUUCUGUUCGGCUGGCUUUUGCUGGCUGGGCGGCGGCUCUAUCAUGGCGAGCGCCUGGGCCUUCGGGUCUGAGCUAGUAGUCUUCUUUUAAACCCUUUCUUAAAUACUGAAUAUACUGUGGGGACGAAAGUCUCUGCUUUUAACUAGAUAGCAACUUUCAGCAGUGGAUGUCUAGGCUCGCACAUCGAUGAAGAACGCUGCGAACUGCGAUACGUAAUGCGAAUUGCAGGAUUCAGUGAGUCAUCGAAAUUUUGAACGCAUAUUGCACUUCCGGGUUAGUCCUGGGAGUAUGCCUGUAUCAGUGUCCGUACAUCAAACUUGCCUCCCUUCCUUCCGUGUAGUCGGUGGAUGGGGACGUGCAGACGUGAAGUGUCUUGCGAUUGGUCUUCGGGCCGGCUGCGAGUCCUUUUAAAUGUACAGAACGGUACUUCUCUUUGCUCGAAAAGCAUAAUGGAAUUGGUUGUGGAAGCUUCCCGGUGGCAAGUCGGCGACUGGUUUGUCUGCUACGGCGUUUAAUGGAGGAAUGUUCGAUUCGCGGUAUGGUUAGCUUCGGCUGAACAAUGCGCUUAUUGGAUGUUUUUCCUGCUGUGGUGGUAAUGACUGGUGAACCGUAGCUAUGCAGGGAUUGGCCUUUGAACUGAGGAUGUUGUGUGAAGUAGAGUGGCGGUUUGGCGCAAGCUGGGCUGUCGAGGGUCGAUCCUAUUUGGGAAAUUUGUGUUGGCGGCUUCGGCUGUUGGCAUCUCAAUUGGACCUGAUA
This 842-nucleotide ribosomal RNA is filed under the name Phytophthora hibernalis. RNAcentral describes it as "eukaryotic LSU rRNA". The stretch from base 238 to 392 matches the Rfam family "5.8S ribosomal RNA". The record is from RNAcentral. Lineage: Eukaryota; Oomycota; Peronosporomycetes; Peronosporales; Peronosporaceae.